UACGGAAGGGGCAAGCGUUGUUCGGAAUCACUGGGCGUAAAGCGCACGUAGGCCGAUUGUUAAGUCAGGGGUGAAAUCCUGGAGCUCAACUCCAGAACUGCCCUUGAUACUGACGGUCUCGAGUCCGGGAGAGGUGAGUGGAACUGCGAGUGUAGAGGUGAAAUUCGUAGAUAUUCGCAAGAACACCAGUGGCGAAGGCGGCUCACUGGCCCGGUACUGACGCUGAGGUGCGAAAGCGUGGGGAGCAAACAGG
Molecule: ribosomal RNA, 253 nt
Filed under: uncultured bacterium
Lineage: Bacteria
Description: partial 16S ribosomal RNA
Rfam family: Bacterial small subunit ribosomal RNA
Source: RNAcentral